This 247-nucleotide ribosomal RNA is filed under the name uncultured bacterium. RNAcentral's name for it is "partial 16S ribosomal RNA". It matches the Rfam family "Bacterial small subunit ribosomal RNA", at positions 523 to 769 of the family's 1533-position model. The record is from RNAcentral.
AUACGUAGGUGGCAAGCGUUGUCCGGAUUUACUGGGCGUAAAGGGUGCGCAGGUGGAUAUUUAAGUGAGAUGUGAAAUCCCCGAGCUUAACUUGGGGCCUGCAUUUCAAACUGGAUAUCUAGAGUGCAGGAGAGGAGAAUGGAAUUCCUAGUGUAGCGGUGAAAUGCGUAGAGAUUAGGAAGAACACCAGUGGCGAAGGCGAUUCUCUGGACUGUAACUGACACUGAGGCACGAAAGCGCGGGUAGC